ACAGUCACACGAGUUGAUCCUGGCUCAGAACGAACGCUGGCGGCAGGCCUAACACAUGCAAGUCGAACGAGCGAGAGAGAGCUUGCUUUCUCAAGCGAGUGGCGAACGGGUGAGUAACGCGUGAGGAACCUGCCUCAAAGAGGGGGACAACAGUUGGAAACGACUGCUAAUACCGCAUAAGCCCACGGCUCGGCAUCGAGCAGAGGGAAAAGGAGCAAUCCGCUUUGAGGUGGCCUCGCGUCCGAUUAGCUAGUUGGUGAGGUAACGGCCCACCAAGGCGACGAUCGGUAGCCGGACUGAGAGGUUGAACGGCCACAUUGGGACUGAGACACGGCCCAGACUCCUACGGGAGGCAGCAGUGGGGGAAUAUUGCACAAUGGGGGAAACCCUGAUGCAGCGACGCCGCGUGGAGGAAGAAGGUCUUCGGAUUGUAAACUCCUGUUGUUGGGGAAGAUAAUGACGGUACCCAACAAGGAAGUGACGGCUAACUACGUG
RNAcentral lists this ribosomal RNA (495 nucleotides) under uncultured bacterium. RNAcentral's name for it is "bacterial SSU rRNA". It matches the Rfam family "Bacterial small subunit ribosomal RNA", at positions 1 to 507 of the family's 1533-position model. The record is from RNAcentral.